Molecule: ribosomal RNA, 465 nt
Filed under: uncultured bacterium
Lineage: Bacteria
Description: partial 16S ribosomal RNA
Rfam family: Bacterial small subunit ribosomal RNA
Source: RNAcentral
GACGAACGCUGGCGGCGUGCUUAACACAUGCAAGUCGUACGGUAAGGCCCUUUCGGGGGUACACGAGCGGCGAACGGGUGCGUAACACGUGAGUAACCUGCCCACAACUUUGGGAUAACGCUAGGAAACUGGUGCUAAUACUGGAUAUGUGCUCCUGCUGCAUGGUGGGGGUUGGAAAGCUCCGGCGGUUGUGGAUGGACUCGCGGCCUAUCAGCUUGUUGGUGGGGUAGUGGCCUACCAAGGCGGCGACGGGUAGCCGGCCUGAGAGGGUGACCGGCCACAUUGGGACUGAGAUACGGCCCAGACUCCUACGGGAGGCAGCAGUGGGGAAUAUUGCACAAUGGGCGCAAGCCUGAUGCAGCAACGCCGCGUGCGGGAGGACGGCCUUCGGGUUGUAAACCGCUUUCAGCAGGGACGAAGCUUUUUGUGACGGUACCUGCAGAAGAAGCACCGGCUAACUACGUG